RNAcentral lists this ribosomal RNA (465 nucleotides) under Vreelandella stevensii. RNAcentral's name for it is "partial 16S ribosomal RNA". It matches the Rfam family "Bacterial small subunit ribosomal RNA", at positions 338 to 795 of the family's 1533-position model. Lineage: Bacteria; Pseudomonadati; Pseudomonadota; Gammaproteobacteria; Oceanospirillales; Halomonadaceae. The record is from RNAcentral.
CCUACGGGAGGCUGCAGUGGGGAAUAUUGGACAAUGGGGGCAACCCUGAUCCAGCCAUGCCGCGUGUGUGAAGAAGGCCCUCGGGUUGUAAAGCACUUUCAGUGAGGAAGAACGCCUGGUGGUUAAUACCCAUCAGGAAAGACAUCACUCACAGAAGAAGCACCGGCUAACUCCGUGCCAGCAGCCGCGGUAAUACGGAGGGUGCGAGCGUUAAUCGGAAUUACUGGGCGUAAAGCGCGCGUAGGUGGCUUGAUAAGCCGGUUGUGAAAGCCCCGGGCUCAACCUGGGAACGGCAUCCGGAACUGUCAAGCUAGAGUGCAGGAGAGGAAGGUAGAAUUCCCGGUGUAGCGGUGAAAUGCGUAGAGAUCGGGAGGAAUAACAGUGGCGAAGGCGGCCUUCUGGACUGACACUGACACUGAGGUGCGAAAGCGUGGGUAGCAAACAGGAUUAGAUACCCGUGUAGUC